CUUCGGUGUCCGAGUUGUAAUCUCUAGAAAUGUUUUCCGCGUUGGACCGCACACAAGUCUGUUGGAAUACAGCGGCAUAGUGGUGAGACCCCCGUAUAUGGUGCGGACGCCCAGCGCUUUGUGAUACAUUUUCGAAGAGUCGAGUUGUUUGGGAAUGCAGCUCAAAUUGGGUGGUAAAUUCCAUCUAAAGCUAAAUAUUGGCGAGAGACCGAUAGCGAACAAGUACCGUGAGGGAAAGAUGAAAAGCACUUUGGAAAGAGAGUUAACAGUACGUGAAAUUGUUGGAAGGGAAACGCUUGAAGUCAGACUUGCUUGCCGAGCAAUCGGUUUGCAGGCCAGCAUCAGUUUUCCGGGAUGGAUAAUGGUAGAGAGAAGGUAGCAGUUUCGGCUGUGUUAUAGCUCU
RNAcentral lists this ribosomal RNA (403 nucleotides) under Rhodotorula mucilaginosa. RNAcentral's name for it is "eukaryotic LSU rRNA". It matches the Rfam family "Eukaryotic large subunit ribosomal RNA", at positions 129 to 527 of the family's 3401-position model. Lineage: Eukaryota; Fungi; Basidiomycota; Microbotryomycetes; Sporidiobolales; Sporidiobolaceae. The record is from RNAcentral.